GCAACGGAUGUUACCAUAUCAUGGCUGUCUAGGGCACAAAAGGCACUGAGAUUGAAGUGCGUACCUUAAAUCAAUCUAUCAAUCUAUGAAUACCCAAAUGCAAGAAAACUUUCAGCCAAUAAUAAGACUGAUUUACAAAUAAUUCAUGACUUUUUUACUGAAGAACCAGACCUUCCCAUCGCUUAUUAAACUUUUCAUACUAGAGAUUUUGCACCUUCUCCGUAAGGAUUGGCUGGUCUGGUUCCUGGAUUUUAUUCGCUGUAAGCUACAGUAGCUAACCUAAAAUAUUUAUUUAAACGAUGCCAGAUAUAUACAAACAGAUAGAUUUCCGAGCUUUGAAAAAUACGAAGAAAUGGUUUGGCGAUAAUAUAAUUGAAUGAAGUGCAUCCAGUUAAGAUGAUUCAAAACCUGUGCUGGCAAAUAAGACAGUGCUUUUAUGGAGUAUAAAAGUCCCUCAUUUAGAAUUUCAAGGACAUAGCGAAAUUCCCUCGAACGCCGGUGUAUUUUGAUUUUUAUCAUAACUUCAGAAAAAGGUCGAUUUAAGCCAUUCAACGAAAGCAAACAAUUUCGCAGCUGCUUGACUAAACUUAA
Long non-coding RNA from Anastrepha ludens (Mexican fruit fly), 591 nucleotides. RefSeq lists it as uncharacterized. NCBI's taxonomy places the organism in Eukaryota, Metazoa, Arthropoda, Insecta, Diptera, Tephritidae. The transcript has 3 exons. The record is from RefSeq and is a predicted model, not a curated record.